Molecule: ribosomal RNA, 253 nt
Filed under: uncultured bacterium
Lineage: Bacteria
Description: partial 16S ribosomal RNA
Rfam family: Bacterial small subunit ribosomal RNA
Source: RNAcentral
UACGGAGGGUGCGAGCGUUGUUCGGAAUCACUGGGCGUAAAGCGCGUGUAGGCGGUCCUAUAAGUCUGGUGUGAAAGCCCGGGGCUCACCCCCGGAAGUGCACUGGAUACUGUAGAACUCGAGUCCCGGAGAGGAAAGUGGAAUUCCUGGUGUAGCGGUGAAAUGCGUAGAUAUCAGGAGGAACACCGGUGGCGAAGGCGGCUUUCUGGACGGUGACUGACGCUGAGACGCGAAAGCGUGGGGAGCAAACAGG